ACUGUUCCUGGACCACGCCUGGCUGAGGGUC
This 31-nucleotide ribosomal RNA is filed under the name Nebria castanea. Its description in RNAcentral is "Oreonebria castanea partial 5.8S ribosomal RNA". The record is from RNAcentral. Lineage: Eukaryota; Metazoa; Arthropoda; Insecta; Coleoptera; Carabidae.